Molecule: long non-coding RNA, 579 nt
Organism: Lycium ferocissimum
Lineage: Eukaryota; Viridiplantae; Streptophyta; Magnoliopsida; Solanales; Solanaceae
Exons: 3
Source: RefSeq, a predicted model, not a curated record
AGUUAUGUCCUUUUUAUCCGCACAAUCCAGAAGUCUUGCUAAAUGAAUUGAAGUCACCAGCUGAGCUACUGGAUUUUGGAGAAUUCUCAGAUUGCCUCGAUUUUGGGAGCAGCUCUGGUUCCCCUCUACUUCAUGUUGUAAAUCCCGCAUUUGAUUACGUGCCACCAAAUCUUGUUAGUUUGUUUAUAACAGACACGGGUGGACAUAAUGCUUCAUACAUGUACCGGCUCAUAGCUGACUAUUAUUCUGCUGAUGAUUUUGUGGUGAAACAGAUCGAUUUCUUGAAAUAGUUUCAAGCUUCAGCUGUUCUAUAAAUAUUAGUGAGGUAACUCAUUCAGCUGAACCUAAAACAAGCUGCAGGCAAGGAGUGCUCUCCUGGAUUUAUUACAAGUACAUGAUAAGACCGAAUUAAACGUAUACCCAGAUGAAGUUCCUGUAAAGACGCUUGAACAACAGGGGCAUUAUAGUCAAAAUGACAGCUUUAGUAAUCAUAUUCUUUUUCAUUUGUCCAAGAGGCUACACCUAUAUUGUACUGACUGCAAUAAACAGAUGAAGAGAGCCUCCCGAUUUUGCAGUGUA